Molecule: long non-coding RNA, 466 nt
Organism: Pieris brassicae (large cabbage white)
Lineage: Eukaryota; Metazoa; Arthropoda; Insecta; Lepidoptera; Pieridae
Exons: 3
Source: RefSeq, a predicted model, not a curated record
AUACUAAGGCAUUAAUAUCUAUUAAAGAAAAUACAUUUAACUGUGUGCUCAAGUAAACCAAAGAUAUCUGGUAAUUUCAGAAACCAACUCUGGAGUGAAGAUGAAGAAUCAAUUGUAUUGGAUCCAGAUAACGAGCUGUGGGGUGGGGUUUCUUUGAUAAGCAACCUCAUAAUCAGGCCAAAUGCUCCAUGUGUGAUGAACGGCUUAGGCGGGAUGCACUGUACAAACAUUUUAAAGAAAAACAUUCUAAAAUCUCCGAGUGCAACCUAGAGAUGACGUUAAGUAUAUUGAACCGAAUAAAAACCAAAGUAAGGACGAUGUGGAAAUUGAAACUUUGGAAAAUAUAUCACAGGAUUACUGAAAGGUGUACCUAGGGCAGCGAGUUCAAAGCUACAAAUGGAAAUUGUGACGUUGAUGACAUUGAAUGAAUGAAUACAAAAAUUAAUUUACAUCAGAUAUAGACAGA